This 500-nucleotide ribosomal RNA is filed under the name uncultured bacterium. RNAcentral's name for it is "partial 16S ribosomal RNA". It matches the Rfam family "Bacterial small subunit ribosomal RNA", at positions 30 to 523 of the family's 1533-position model. The record is from RNAcentral.
AUUGAACGCUGGCGGCAUGCCUUACACAUGCAAGUCGAACGGUAACGGGUCCUUCGGGAUGCCGACGAGUGGCGAACGGGUGAGUAAUAUAUCGGAACGUGCCCAGUAGUGGGGGAUAACUGCUCGAAAGAGCAGCUAAUACCGCAUACGACCUGAGGGUGAAAGGGGGGGAUCGCAAGACCUCUCGCUAUUGGAGCGGCCGAUAUCAGAUUAGCUAGUUGGUGGGGUAAAGGCCUACCAAGGCAACGAUCUGUAGUUGGUCUGAGAGGACGACCAGCCACACUGGGACUGAGACACGGCCCAGACUCCUACGGGAGGCAGCAGUGGGGAAUUUUGGACAAUGGGCGCAAGCCUGAUCCAGCAAUGCCGCGUGCAGGAAAAAGGCCUUCGGGUUGUAAACUGCUUUUGUCAGGGAAGAAAUCUUCUGGGCUAAUACCCCGGGAGGAUGACGGUACCUGAAGAAUAAGCACCGGCUAACUACGUGCCAGCAGCCGCAGUAA